UAGAUCAAAAACAAAACAGCGGGAUAUGAAGAUGGAGGAUGGUGGAGGUGUGCCCAGUUUGCCAUGUGAGGCUGGUGAGCGGGAGGGGCACGGAGGCUGAAUCCUGGGAUUCUAGGUUUGGCAACAGGGUUGAUGGAGAUGUCAUCUUCAGAGAGGGGUUUACAGGAGGAGAACAACUUUUUGCAGGCCUGUGGGGAGGUGAUGAGUUCCGUCCUGGGUGUGACAGUGUGACGGGCCCAAGGUCCAUCUGCAUGGGGUGUCAGUGGGUGAGGGAAUGUCUGAGCUGUAGCUAAUGAAUGUGGGCAUUGUUCAUCUCAGGGUGGGUUCCCCAUGGAGGAGAAGACAAGAGGACCUGGGGCCGAUGCCUGGGGAGCCUCCGUUUGGGCUGCAAAGGACGAGGAGCUGAUGGGCGGAAGCAGGGAGACCGGGGCACGGGUGCCCAGAAAGCCAAGAGCAAAGGAAGAGGCUCACGAGGUGGAGAGCACUCAACAGGGCCGAACGCUGCAGAGAAGCCCAGGAAGGGAAGACUCGAGAAGAACCCAUUUGGUUCAGCUGGAGGAGGGCCCCAGUGGCCUCGAUUGCGGCCGUGUGCCGGGGGCAGAAGCUGCAGAGCAGCGGCGGGGGGGUGAGCAGUAGAGGAAGCCGGGACAAGACGCGUGAACGGCUCUUUCCUUGGCCGGGAAGUACGGAGGAGCCAGGCCAGUGGCUGGAGGUGGCCGUGGCGGUGAUGGCUUUUUCCAUCUUUAUUUCUGGUUUAUUUAGGCAGGGGACACCUGGCUUGUUUAAAUGCUGAUGGUUGGGAGCCAGGAGAGGGGGAAGUGAAGAUAAAGGGGAGGGGUUGACCAAGGUGCCAAGUGGGUGGGAAGAGGCUCCUCCAGAAUCCCAAAACGGGGGUGGGAUGGCCAUCUGGGAGGAAGGAACCUGUGCGGGGAGGCCUGUGGGCUGGAAGCAGGAGGUGUGUGCAGCAAGCACGUGGGCACUGGCUCUGGGCGGUGCAGGGAUGGGCAGGUCAUCAUGGGGCUUUAAAUCUACGAGUGAUGCGGUCCGAUUGGAGCCUCAGAACCAACAUCUGGCAGCUGAGUGAAUGGGUGGAAGAGCCCCAUCAACCUGUUAGGAACGGGGCUCACAAGUGUCCAUCUCCUCUGUGGAGAUGCUGGUGGAAAUGCCCAUCAUAACUCAAGAUGCAGAAUAUUUUGAGAGGUGGUAUUCUUUGAAGUUUAAAAACACAAGCUCUAGGGGACAGACUGGGUUUGGAUCCUGACUCCCUUCCAACAAGCUGUGUGACCUCGGGCUGGUUACUUGACCUCUCUGUGUGUAUUAGUUGCUUGUAGCUGUAUAACAGACUACCUCAAAACUUAGCAACUGAAAACAACACCCGUUUAGUAUCUCACAGUCCCUGUGAGUUGGGAAGGCAGGAGCCGCUUAACUGGGGCCCUGUGCUUGGGGUUACUCACGGGGCUGUGAUCAAGGAAGCGGCAGAGGCCAGAGUCUGCUCAAGGCACGACUGGGUAGGACCCACUUCCAGGCAAAGUCAGCGGCUGUUGGCAGGAUUCAGUUCUCCCUGGGCUGUUAACUGAGGCCCUCAUUUCCUCACUGUCUGAAGCCAGAAGCCACCUUGAGUUCCAAAUGGAGUUUGUCAAGUAGGCAGGUGGAUAAUUGAGUCUGGAAUUCAGGAGAAGGGUCCAGGCAGGAGAUAUAAAUGUGGGAGUCCUAGGCACGUAGAUGGUAUUUAAAACCAUGCAAUUGGUUGAGAUCACCAAGGAAACAGGUGCAGAUAGAAAACAGGUCCAAGGGCUGAGCCUGGGGGUAUCCCAGUAUUGGGGAGAUGAUGGGGAACCAGCAAUAGAUGGUAAGGAGAAGCCGGUGGAAAAGAAGAAGACCCAGUGGAAGCCACAUGAAAGAAGCGUAUCGGGUUUAACCGCCGAUUCUGCUGACCAGUCCUGUGAGAUGACCAUGGACAAUUGACUGCUGAUUUAACAACAACCUGGGGUCGCUGGUGACUUUGACAAGGUGGUGUCAGUGGGUGUGGAAGCUGAUGGGAAGGAGUUCAAGAGAGAAUGGUAGGGGAGAGAGUGGAUACAUGCCGUAUUUCAAGGAGUUUUGCUGUAAAGGAAAACAGGGAAAUAAGACAAUAGUUGAAGGGGAAUUGUAGGAUCCACAAUUAUUUUUUUUAACAUCUUUAUUGGAGUAUAAUUGCUUCACAAUACUGUGUUAGUUUCUGUUGCACAACAAAGCUAAUCAGCCAUAUGCAUACACAUGUCCCCAUAUCUCCUCCCUCUUGAGUCUCCCUCCCACCCUCCCUAUCCCACCCCUCUAGGUGGUCGCAAAGCACCGAGCUGAUCUCCCUGUGCUAUGCGGCUGCUCCCUACCAGCCAACUGUUUUACGUUCGGCAGUGUAUAUAUGUCGAUGCUACUCUCACUUCGCCCUAGCUUCUCCCUCCCACCCCAUAUCCUCAAGUCCAUUCUCUAUGUCAACCUCUUUAUUCCUGCCCUGAAACUACAUUCAUCAGUACCAUUUUUUUUUUUUAGAUUCCAUAUAGAAUGGCCAUUAUCAAAAAAUCUAAAAACAAUAAAUGCUGGAAAGGGUGUGGUGAAAAGGGAACCCUCUUGCACUGUUGGUGGGAAUGUAAAUUGAUACAGCCACUAUGGAGAACAGUAUGGAGGUUCCUUAAAAAACUAAAAAUAGAACUACCAUACGACCCAGCAAUCCCACUACUGUGCAUAUACCCUGAGAAAACCAUAAUUCAAAAAGAGUCACGUACCACAAUGUUCAUUGCAGCUCUAUUUACAAUAGCCAGGACAUGGAAGCAACCUAAAUGUCCAUCGACAGAUGAAUGGAUAAAGAAGAUGUGGCACAUAUAUACAAUGGAAUAUUCCUCAGCCAUAGAAAGAAACGAAAUUGAGUUAUUUGUAGUGAGGUGGAUGGACCUAGAGUCUGUCAUACAGAGUGAAGUAAGUCAGAAAGAGAAAAACAAAUACUGUAUGCUAACACAAUUAUUAUUUUUUUUAGUUUAUUUAUUUAUUUAUUUAUUUUUGGCUGUGUUGGGUCUUCGUUUCUGUGCGAGGGCUUUCUCUAGUUGCGGCAAGCGGGGGCCACUCUUCAUCGCGGUGCGCGGGCCUCUCACUAUCGCGGUCUCUCUUGUUGCGGAGCACAGGCUCCAGAUGCGCAGGCUCAGUAGUUGUGGCUCACAGGCCUAGUUGCUCUGCGGCAUGUGGGAUCUUCCCAGACCAGGGCUUGAACCCGUGUCCCCUGCAUUAGCAGGCAGAUUCUCAACCACUGCGCCACAAGGGAAGCCCCCAACACAAUUAUUUUUAAGGUAGGGGAAAUAAUUGCAUGUUUGUAUUCUGAUCGGAAUUAUCUAGUAGAGAAGGAGGCUGGGCAAUGUCUUGAGAAGGUGAGAGGGAACGGAGGGGGGUGGUCUAAGGUAGGAACAGGACGGUUUUUGAAGUAUCACGAGGCAAAGCCAAGCGAGCACAGGGGCCCUGAUGCUGGUGGGGCAGGUGCGGUGGUAGGAGCUCAUGGCAGCUCUUUCCACCUGCUUCCAUGUUCCUCCCGAAAUAGGAAGCAAGGCCGGGAGAAGAGAGGGAGAGCGGCGGGAGGAGGCGCUGGGAGUUUAAGGAGAGAGAGAAGAUGUGAACGAGUCAUCCAGGAGAGUCAAGAGUGGAGGACAAGGAGAAAUGGACUCUGGUGCCCAGGCAGUGAUGGAAGCCCAUGCAUCAUUGGCGGUCACGGGCUUUCUGAUAUGCAUGAAGGUUUGGGAACCACUGCCCUAGGGUAGAAUGGCCAAAGGAGGAGGACAAGUGUCACAGGACCAGAAGAAUUUAAGAAAUUGAGAGGUCGGGAAGGGAAAAGGAUUCCUUAAGGAACAUGAAAUUGCUGAAAAUUGAGACAGGGGUACAGGGACUUCCCUGGAGGUCCAGUGGUUAAGACUCCGCCUUCCAAUACAGGGGGCGUGGGUUGGAUCUCUGGUCGGGGAACUAAGAGCCCACAUGCUGCGGGGUGCGGCCAAAAUUUUUUUUAAAAAGGAGGUACAGCUGAAGAAAGUGCCCGGACCCAGGAGCUAAAGUCACCAAGAAAUGAAGACAAUGGCCAGGUGGAGAAGAGUCUAGAAGUGGCAGAAAACAGUAAGGAGGACACCUAUCCCGGAGCCCAGUGAUAUAAGGGCUGUGGGAGAUAGGCAGCCCCUCUGAGGGGCAUAGCGGGCAGGACAACGGCCCCCCAAAGAUGUCCACUCAUCCCUGGCACUUGUGCGUAUGUUACCUUACACGGCAGCGGGGACUUGGCAGGUGUGAUUACUAAUCUCGAGAUGGAAAGAGUAGCCUGGAUUAUCCAGGUGGGCCCAAUGUAAUCACAAGCGUCCCUAUAAGAGGGAGACCGGAGACUCAGACGCAGGAGUAUGCGGCUUCCGGGGGGCAGCGGUCGGGGUGAUGCCGUUGCUGGCUUGGAAGAUGGAGGGAGGCCCACCGGCCAGGAAGCGGAUUCUCCCCUCCAGCCUCCGGAAGGGACACGGCCCUGCGGACACCUUGAGUUUAGCCCAGCGAGACCAUUUUGGAUUCCUGACCUCCAGAACCGUAAGAGAGACACCGUGAUGAAAACAGAUGUUGAACAUGGCUACAGCCUCAGGGUGAUUUCUAAGCCUGACACCUAAGGCUGAAACCAGACAGAAAGAAAAGACAGACGCAUAGUGAGCCAUCAUUGUGAUGCUGCAGAGGACUCUGGGUCUGGCCUGUGAUGUAGCAAAGCCACUUUCACCAACAGACAGACCAUCCAAAAGCCAAGGCCCAGCGGGACAGCAGGAGGCACGUAAGCCAGCAAUACUGAUGCUGGGCACUGCAUGUGCUACCUGAUUCCAAUCAUUGUGCAGAGAAUGAAAUAACAGCAGCGGCAUCUGAACAGCUGAGGCACAGAAAGACUGCCCUGCCGUUGACGGAGAGCCUUCCUUAACUGGAAACACCAAGCAAAGUGUACAAAACCAAAAGGGAGCUGGCUCAGGGCAGAAGCAGAGCUGCCACAGGCUGGCACCUGGCGCUGCUGCCUUCCUUCUCCCUGGAAGAGGGUGAUGGGGCCACUGGGAGAGCAUGCAGAUCCCCAGAGCCUCAUUGCCACCCCUACUCCCCACCCCGACCUCCAGCCUCCGAGAAUCUCAGGAUUCAACGAUCUAAAGUUGACAGAAAGAUUCAAUGCCAUGCUGUGGAGCCUGACAGACUGACUCUCCAACGUGUCUGCAGAAAAGCAAAGACACUUCUGGGGAACAACGGGCUGGGGACUAAAGCUACCAGCCGUCCAGAACAUCUACAAAGCGGCUGUAAUGAAGAACUGGGGACAAACUCUCCUACAGAACAAAGCCGAGAGAGCACGAAGGGGCCUGCACUUACAUGGAAACGAUAUUUACAACAUGGAUGGAUUACAGGCCCGUGGGGAAAGGACGGACUUCUCAAUAGAUGGUCUGGGGCCACAACUUAUCCACACAGAAAACGAUGAAAUUAGAAAUUUACUUCAUACUGGACACAAAAGUCAAAUCCAGGUGGAUUACAAACUUAAGUGUGAAAGAUAAAACUGUAACAUGUUGGGAAGAUGAUACAGGAGAAGCUCUCUUUAUGACAUAGGGGUAGAAAGGGAUUUCCUAAACCAGUGCUUCAGAGAAGCAUCCGAAUCACUGGAGGGCUCAUAAAAGCUCAGGUUGCUGGGCCCAACCCUAGCGUUUCUGAUUCAGCAGAUCUGGGGUGGGCAGGGCCUGAGAAUCUGCAUUUCUAACGAGCUUCCACGUGACACGGAUGUGGCCAGUCCGAUGACACAUUUUCGGUAGCACCGUCCCAAAUGACACUCAAAAAGCUCAAACCUUUCCAAAAAUAAAUUUAACGACAUUAAAAGUUUCUAUUCAUUGAAAGAUACCACCUCACCCACAGGAGUUUUGCAAACACUUUAGCAAUCUUACAGUUUCAAACGUUGGGAGGAUGUAGAGCCAUGUACUUACUUCUGUGUUGCUGAUGGGAGUAUAAACUGGUACAACCGCUUUGGAAGACAAUUUGGUAUUGUCUACUGACGUGGCAGAUGUGUACGCCCAGUGACCAAGCAAUUCUACUUGUAAGUACAACCCGACAGAAGCGCCUCUGUGUGCAGAGAAAGAACAUUCUGGAAAGCACUGUUUGUACCAGCAUAGGGAAAAAAACCUGGAAAUGACCAAAUGUCCACCAUCAGCAGAAAGGAUAAAUGAGCUCUACAAUGGACUAUUACACGGCAGAGGAAAAGAAAGAAUUACAGCUACAAAAAUGACAACCUAUGAAUACCAAGAACGUAAUGUUGAAGGAAGAGGCAAGUUGCAGAAAACUACUUACAGAAUGACUGCAUUUAUGUAAAGUUCACAAGCAUGCAAAACUCAGUGUGUUGUUUAGAGAAUCAAACAAGUGGUAAAACUAUUUUUUUAAAAAAAGGAGAGUGACAAACACAAAAUUGAGGAUAGCAAUUCGUCUAAGGUGGGAGGGAAGAAAAUACACUCAAAAUUCCGCGCUCAGUCCAGGCGUGGAGCAUCACGGCUGAGAACAUUGCAGAACAGAGACAGACCCCAGACACCUCUGAUGGAGGAACAUACCACGUGUGAGGGAGCCUCACCCAAAACAUCAAACUCAAUCUGAUCCAGCCACCCAUCUCACUACUGAUUUACGGGAAAUGCUGAGGACAAAGCGACGACCUCGGGGCUGCAAUCAGCGAAACCCAGCCUACAUGCAAACCACCUGGCUUCUUCAAUGCAAAGAUGGCAAAGGGGAAAAAGAUAAAGGGGGCCUGCACAGAUGAAAGAAACGGAAAAUACAUUUCAAACAACCACACUGUGUGGGCCUGCCUUGGAUCCAGAGUCAAGAUGAACUGUGGGAAAAAAAAUUAGGCCAUGUAUGAGGCAGCUGAAAAUUUGAGCAUUGAGUUUGAUAUUAAAGAAUUAUUUUAACACACUACUAUAUAUAAAGUAGAUAAACAAUAAGGAUUUACUGUAUAGCACAGGGACCUAUAUUAUUCACUAUCUUGCAAUA
Balaenoptera acutorostrata (minke whale) is the source of this 7023-nucleotide long non-coding RNA. RefSeq lists it as uncharacterized. The record is from RefSeq and is a predicted model, not a curated record. Lineage: Eukaryota; Metazoa; Chordata; Mammalia; Artiodactyla; Balaenopteridae. The transcript has 6 exons.